GACGAACGCUGGCGGCGUGCCUAAUACAUGCAAGUAGAACGAGUUGCGAACGGGUGAGUAAUGUCUGGGAAACUGCCCGAUGGAGGGGGAUAACUACUGGAAACGGUAGCUAAUACCGCAUACCAUCGGAUGUGCCCAGAUGGGAUUAGCUAGUAGGUGGGGUAACGCCUCACCUAGUAGACGUGCCCUAGCUGGUCUGAGAGGAUGACCAUCAACACGGGAACUGAGCAACGGUCCAGACUCCUACGGGAGGCAGCAGUGGGGAAUAUUGCACAAUGGGCGCAAGCCUGAUGCAGCCAUGCCGCGUGUAUGAAGAAGGCCUUCGGGUUGUAAAGUACUUUCAUCGAGGAGGCGUUACUCGCAGAGGAAGCACCGGCUAACUCCGUGCCAGCAGCCGCGGUAAUUC
RNAcentral lists this ribosomal RNA (406 nucleotides) under uncultured bacterium. RNAcentral's name for it is "partial 16S ribosomal RNA". It matches the Rfam family "Bacterial small subunit ribosomal RNA", at positions 28 to 526 of the family's 1533-position model. The record is from RNAcentral.